UACGGGGGGGGCAAGCGUUGUUCGGAAUUACUGGGCGUAAAGGGCUCGUAGGCGUCCAACUAAGUCCGACGUGAAAUCCCCAGGCUUAACCUGGGAACUGCGUCGGAUACUGGAUGGCUUGAAUCCGGGAGAGGGAUGCGGAAUUCCAGGUGUAGCGGUGAAAUGCGUAGAUAUCUGGAGGAACACCGGUGGCGAAGGCGGCAUCCUGGACCGGCAUUGACGCUGAGGAGCGAAAGCCAGGGGAGCAAACGGG
This 253-nucleotide ribosomal RNA is filed under the name uncultured bacterium. RNAcentral's name for it is "partial 16S ribosomal RNA". It matches the Rfam family "Bacterial small subunit ribosomal RNA", at positions 524 to 776 of the family's 1533-position model. The record is from RNAcentral.